RNAcentral lists this unclassified non-coding RNA (409 nucleotides) under Hevea brasiliensis (rubber tree). Lineage: Eukaryota; Viridiplantae; Streptophyta; Magnoliopsida; Malpighiales; Euphorbiaceae. The record is from RNAcentral.
ACAAAUCACUAAGCAGUCACCUGAGUCUCUAUUGCAACCUUGCCUGAGUACCUAACUUGCUCAGUCUUCUCGGCUUCCUCCCACAGCUCAGGCAGUGCUUCCCUGAUGUUGUGUAUGCUCUCCAGUGCAUGAUCUGCUCCUUUCACUCUGUGCGGAGUUCCAACCAAUACUGUGUGAAGACCAAUGCGCUUGCCCGCCUGUAUAUUGCGAACACUAUCAUCGAAGAACACCGUCUUCUGGGGAUCCAUAUUCCCAAUCUUGAGAGCUUGCUCCAUAGCCACCUCAGAUGGCUUGCACAGAAUUGGACAUUUGGGCAACUCACCACCAUCAUCUACAUCUGUCCUCGACAAAUACUCAACUAUGUCAAACACAUUAUCCGCCGUCUGGUCCUCACAAGGCGGAUUCAGAG